This 423-nucleotide ribosomal RNA is filed under the name uncultured bacterium. RNAcentral's name for it is "bacterial SSU rRNA". It matches the Rfam family "Bacterial small subunit ribosomal RNA", at positions 202 to 622 of the family's 1533-position model. The record is from RNAcentral.
AAGACCUCAUGCUUUUGGAGCGGCCGAUGUCUGAUUAGCUAGUUGGUGAGGUAAUGGCUUACCAAGGCAACGAUCAGUAGUUGGUCUGAGAGGACGACCAGCCACACUGGGACUGAGACACGGCCCAGACUCCUACGGGAGGCAGCAGUGGGGAAUUUUGGACAAUGGGCGCAAGCCUGAUCCAGCAAUGCCGCGUGAGUGAAGAAGGCCUUCGGGUUGUAAAGCUCUUUCAGUUGAGAAGAAAGAAUUCUGGUUAAUACCUGGAAUUUAUGACGGUAUAGACAGAAGAAGCACCGGCUAACUACGUGCCAGCAGCCGCGGUAAUACGUAGGGUGCAAGCGUUAAUCGGAAUUACUGGGCGUAAAGGGUGCGCAGGUGGUUUUGUAAGUCAGAUGUGAAAUCCCCGGGCUUAACCUGGGAAUU